Molecule: transfer RNA, 62 nt
Filed under: Nacolus tuberculatus
Lineage: Eukaryota; Metazoa; Arthropoda; Insecta; Hemiptera; Cicadellidae
Description: tRNA-Asp
Source: RNAcentral
GAAAAUCUAGUUUAUUAAAACAUUAAUUUGUCAAAUUAAAAUUACUUAUUAAGUGAUAUUCA